UGCGUAGGUGGUUUGGCAAGUUGGUAGCGUAACCCCGGGGCUCAACCUCGGAACUACUACCAAAACUGUUGAACUCGAGUGCAGGAGGGGCAAUUGGAAUUCCUAGUGUAGCGGUGGAAUGCGUAGAUAUUAGGAGGAACACCAGAGGCGAAGGCGAAUUGCUGGACUGUAACUGACACUGAGGCACGAAAGCGUGGGGAGCAAAACGA
Molecule: ribosomal RNA, 209 nt
Filed under: uncultured bacterium
Lineage: Bacteria
Description: partial 16S ribosomal RNA
Rfam family: Bacterial small subunit ribosomal RNA
Source: RNAcentral